This 501-nucleotide long non-coding RNA is filed under the name Homo sapiens (human). Its description in RNAcentral is "DXZ4 associated non-coding transcript 2, distal". The record is from RNAcentral. Lineage: Eukaryota; Metazoa; Chordata; Mammalia; Primates; Hominidae.
UGACCUUCAGCUUCCACCCCCUCUGGGGAACAGGAGACACAGAAGAUGGAGGGAGGGAUGGCAGCCUACCCUGUGGCAACGCGGGAGUCGCGUUGCCGCAGGGGGCGCAUUGGGGUCCAGCCGUCCCCAGAACGCAGAUCAGAGGUAGUCGGACCUUUCCCGCUGGCGCGCAGCCUCAGCUAGUUCUGUGAAAUGGGAGGAUCUGAAACGGCCAUGAUUAUUAAGAAAAAGAAAGAAUGAAGCUUCUUAAAUAAGUAUCAAAAAUUACAAAAGAUAGUGGUAAUAAUACAAAAUAUAAGCUCAACAAAUUAUAUGUAGACAAAAAAAGUCCAAAAGGAAAGAAGACACAAUUGUCACAGUUAUACUGGUUAUUUCUAGAUGAAGAUGUUAAGAGUGUUUGUGUGUUCGCUCUUGUUGUGCUUUGUGUUUCUUGUUAUUGAUACUAAGGCAAAAGUUUGGCCUUAUUUCCAAAAUUAGAAAAACUGACCAAAGUUCUAUGGA